Triticum aestivum (bread wheat) is the source of this 1180-nucleotide long non-coding RNA. RefSeq lists it as uncharacterized. Lineage: Eukaryota; Viridiplantae; Streptophyta; Magnoliopsida; Poales; Poaceae. The record is from RefSeq and is a predicted model, not a curated record. The transcript has 5 exons.
GUCUUUUCUGUCAAUUGCUUUCGACAGGUGGUCCUUUUGGACAAAAAUUCGUUCCUCGAAGGGCAGGCGCCCGAAGAAGACGACGCCAUUGAUGCGGAUGGGAUUCCUACGGCAGCUAAUCAGCCGAUUCCCACUGAUUGAAGCGGUGGACGACACUGAAUGCAUGCGAGAUCCGCUGCGGCGAAUGGCUGCCUUGACGGUUGCUGGUGUGGAUCAGGUGCCGGCUCCCGCCGCGAGUGCAGACGCACAGAUCUGCUCGAGCGUGGUGUCGUUGGCAGAAGGAAGAACUCGUCGCCGCCCUCGCAGGUCUCCACGGGGAGGCCAGCCCACAAGCUCCUCGGUGGUUAAAGAGAACGGCUGCUUCUUCAGUGCCCAAGCUUGAAAGAUGUUCAUGUCUAUCGAUGUUGUUAUAUGUUGAUCGGAGCAAUCAGAAACGAGGUGAGCCGUGGAUCAGGUUCUCGAUUUCUGUCUGAUCUGUGGCUCAGAAAAGUCGAUGCUCCAUGGAUUCAAUGCAAGGUGAGUCUGCUAUUCCCCAACGCGGCCGUCAUUUUGGAACUUCAGAAGCAAGGGAGGGAGUGGAUGAACACACGACCGACAGCGAUGGAUUUCCUCCUGCGAUCAGGAGAUCCACUCUGAUUGAGGUUGGGGAGAGUCUAGUGCUGGAAGGUUGCCGACACAUGGCACCAGGCGGACAGUGGUCAAGGUGACGCUGCAGGAGGCCAUGGGUGUGAGCGCCAAAGGGCGGAUCGGCGGCGUUGCUGAAGCGGCGGCAGUGACAAGGGGCAGCUCGCCUCUCACUUCCGAGCUGUCGACGGGGAAAAACCGUACUGAUGGAAAUUAGCUCAUGAUUGAGCAAUUCUGUAAAAAAAAAGAUCAAAAUCGAGCAGCGGAGGUCGCAAUCAAGAGUGUGAUGCUUGUUGGUGUGCCGACGGCUGGGGCACAAGAGAACUACUUACCCGGAUCUCGGCGAUGUGCCAAAGCAGCCUCGGAAGCCGGCGAGGUGCAAAAAUUGUGGUGUGGUGGGGCACCAAAGAACAAUUUUACGAAAGCGAUGGAGCUGAGAUUAGCUGGUGGCGUGUAGUGGUGAGUGAAAAAUGCCAAACGAUUUCAGUAAGUUUGAAUUGUCAAUCGCAAGCAUGACUUGUUUUCUGCAUUCAUGAUGUGUUUGUGCAACUGAGCA